Molecule: long non-coding RNA, 937 nt
Organism: Fundulus heteroclitus (mummichog)
Lineage: Eukaryota; Metazoa; Chordata; Actinopteri; Cyprinodontiformes; Fundulidae
Exons: 2
Source: RefSeq, a predicted model, not a curated record
GAUGUCUGUGCGCUAAUGGGUUUUUGUGUGUAAGUCUGUGUGUGUAGAUUUGUGCGUAUGACAGAGCUGAGAAUAGCAACUGAAGCGUAAGAGAUUUACGGUGCAUUUGAUCAGGAUAUUAGUGAAAAUAAAUAGAAUUGUGCAGCAUGGAUAUCAAUGGGAGGACAGAUCGAUGUAUUUGUGGCUUUCUUGGCGCAGCAGAGCGUUCUGAGUGCAACCAGCAGUUAGUCGAGGCAAAAAAAAAAAAAAAAAAAACGGAACUUUAGAAGCGCAUAAUUUCGCGGGGGAAACAUUUUAGUAACGGACCGGAUAGAUGAUUAUCUCGGCUAGUGGGGGAAAAUGACUAAAAAAAGCCGUGAAACGUAAUGAGAUAAAAGAUGACAGGCGAGUGGCGAGAUGUUGAACCUCGUUUCUGCGGAGGCGCGGCGUCGGACAGCCGGCUUGCCUAUUGCCUCCUUUUCUCUAUUCUUUAUUUAUUUACAGGUCUGUUGAUUGCUGAACGUGGAAGCAGAUGGCUUGGCGGUCAGUGUGGCGUCGAGUAUUGAACCCAGGGCGUGAUGGAUGAGUGUUUGGAGCUGAUAUGGUGGACAUGUUAAAGCACCCAUCGACAUACAAUCGUGAUUGUCCUGGACAUUGAACACCUGUGGGCUGUUUCACCCCACCAGCAGGUCCACCUGGUAUGAAGCAACCAAGUCCUGACAUGACCUCAUCUCCUCAAGGUCAGUACCCCUGCAAGGGGAUAACUCGUCUGAUGACACACCCCUGAGCAUGGCCAGCUGCAUGAGCACUACAGACUCCGAGCUGUCAGUGGAAAAGACUGCAUGAACUUUUGGUGGACACUGGAGCCACGUAUGGGCCUCUGAGUUGUGGACUAAGACUGUCACUGAAUAUGAUACUGAGAGAAGAAACAGUGUCUGCCGUUGUGACCUGAGGGGGA